Long non-coding RNA from Gopherus flavomarginatus (Mexican gopher tortoise), 1463 nucleotides. RefSeq lists it as uncharacterized. The record is from RefSeq and is a predicted model, not a curated record. The transcript has 3 exons. NCBI's taxonomy places the organism in Eukaryota, Metazoa, Chordata, Testudines, Testudinidae.
UGGCACUCACCUCGGCGGCGUGCGGCGGGCUGCGGACGCUACCGGUCAGGGCGGCAUGGUGGCCCGGGUCCCCGCCCCGGCUGCUGCUUUUAUGCAACUGGCAGCGGCUCCUGCCUUGUGGCCUGGAGGGGAAACAGCCCGCUCCGCCCCCGUCCCCGAAAUGACGCGGCUCCGCCCGGCCGCCCCUUCCCCGCCCAGCCCGGCUGCACCCCCUCUUCCCCGGCGCUGAGAGGCUGGGCCUGAGGAGGAGCACCGGGGCCUGGGCUGCCCUGCCCUGCUCGGCCCGGAGAGGAAGGCCGGAGGCGCCGCGGGGGAGAAGCCCAGCCCCGACGAACACCAUGUCUGAAAUGCUGUACAGCAGAGGAGACAUCUAGUGGCUGGGUAGCAUGCUGCAAGAAAACAUUACAGCUUAAAGCAACAGGGGACGAGAGCUAAGGAACGUUCUAACACCCCUACUCUACUUGCGCUACAUUGAUGGCAUCAUCGUCUGAACCCAUGGAAAAGAAACCUUCGAGGAAUUCCACCAUGACUUUAACAAUUUCCAUCCCACCAUCAACCUCAGCCUAGACCAAUCCACACAAGUGGUCCAUUUCCUAGACACUACUGUGCUAAUAAGUGAUGGUCACAUAAACAUGCCAUAUACUGGAAACCUACUGACCGCUAUACUUACCUACAUGCCUCCAGCUUCCAUCCAGGACACACCACACAAUCUAUUGUCUACAGCCAAGUUCUAAGAUACAACCGCAUUUGCUCCAGUCCCUCAGACAGACACAAACACCUACAAGAUCUCUGUCAAGCAUUCUUAAAACUACAAUAUCCACCUGCUGAAGUGAAGAAACAGAUUGACAGAGCCAGAAGAGUACCCAGAAGCCACCUACUACAGGACAGGCCCAACAAAGAAAAUAACAGAAUGCCACUAGCUGUAACCUUCAGCCCCCAACUAAAACCUCCCCAGCAAAUCAUGAAAGAUCUACAACCUAUCCUGAAAGAUGAUCCCUCACUCUCACGGAUCUUGGGAGACAGACCAGUCCUCGCUUACAGACAGCCUCCUGACCUGAAGCAAAUAUUCACCAGCAACCGCACACCAUACAACAUAAACACUAACCCAGGAACCUAUCCUUGCAACAAAGCCCAAUGCCAGCUCUGUCCACAUAUCUAUUCAAGUGACACCAUCAUAGGACCUAAUCACAUCAGCCACGCCAUCAGGGGCUCAUUCAUCUGCACAUCUACCAACGUGAUAUAUGCCAUCAUGUGCCAGCAAUGUCCCUCUGCCAUGUUCAUUGGCCAAACCAGACACUCUCUACACAGAAGAAUAAAUGGACACAAAUUUGACAUCAGGAAUCAUAACAUUCAAAAACCAGCGGGAGACCACUUCAACCUCUCCAACCACUCAGUGACAGACUUGAAGGUGGCAAUUUUGCAGCAAAAAAACUUCAAAAACAGACUCCAAAGAGAGACUGAAC